GUAGUACUUGAUGUUUGAUGCCAUGUUGAACCUUUUCUUGGCCAUAAUUUUAUACACAUGUUAAGACACUCUUGAGUUGAUGACUUCUUGUUGUCUUGUUAAUUUUACACUUGUGUUUGGAGCCUCCUAAAUAUUUCUUUUGAGUAAUACAAUGCAUACCUAUUUUUGUUGGCCUUUGUUUGCUUUGCUUAUUUGUUUAGGGAAUGAACUUGUGCA
Molecule: long non-coding RNA, 216 nt
Filed under: Lathyrus oleraceus (garden pea)
Lineage: Eukaryota; Viridiplantae; Streptophyta; Magnoliopsida; Fabales; Fabaceae
Description: Pisum sativum (pea) long non-coding RNA (PSAT_LNC005798)
Source: RNAcentral